AAAGCACGCGCCCGGUGUCACAGGAUUAGGAGUAUGUUUCGAUUUCUCUACUUUUUGUUGCUCUUUUCUGCUUGUGAUAGCCAUGUUUUUAUCCAUCCGUUGUCGAAACUGGGUGUAACUGAGACCAUAAGAGACAUCGAUCCCAAUAUUAAGGUGCAAGCGGACCCAACAGUUUUGCAGAGUUCUGGCAGCUGGGUGACAGUCACUUGGAAAGGUGUUGCAUCACCGUCCGGUGAUGACUGGAUUGGUGUAUACGAGCCUGCCAGUGCUGACCCGAAUGCCUCGGCGCCGGUUAAGUACCAGUUUGCAAACAUUUGUUCAUCACACAUGACGAAUGGCAGUGGAACUGUGAGAUUUCGAUUAGUUAACACGAGAGUUGACAUUGCGUUCAAGUUUUUACGAAAUGGAACUAAGUUUCCCAUUUUGGCUGCUGUAUCAAAUGUGGUGACUUUUAAGAAUCCUAAUGAACCUACUCAAGUUCAUCUGGCAUUAACUGAUUCUUCAUCAUCAAUGAGUGUUUCAUGGGUGAGUGGAAUGGUCAGUGAGCCUCUAGUCAUUUGGGGAACUACACCUGGUCAUCAUCCAAGCGUUGCUCGUGCUUCGUACAGAACUUAUAAUGUGAGUCAUAUGUGUGGUGCUCCAGCAAGUACUGUGGGAUGGCAUGAACCUGGGUGGCUUAUUCAAGCAAAUAUGAUACAACUAAAAAGUGGUGUAAAAUAUUACUACAAAGUGGGAGACAAGAAGUAUGGAUGGAGUUUGGAAUUCUCUUUUGUAGCUGCACCGACACCUGAUGGAACACAGCGAACUCGUCUGAUUGCAUUUGGAGACAUGGGUAAUGGCCAAGUUGACGGUAGUAUCCAGCACUGGGAAGAGCAACCAUCACUCAACACCACAGCUAACAUUUUAAGCGAGCUGGAUGAUACUGACCUUAUUCUACACAUAGGGGACAUUAGCUAUGCUGUUGGAUAUGCAGCCGAGUGGGAUGAGUUUUUUGAUCAAAUCCAGCCAAUUGCUUCCAAGAUUCCAUAUAUGGUGUGCAUGGGAAAUCAUGAACUUGACUUUCCUGUUCCAAGUUCGUUGUUUUCUGGUCAGGACUCUGGUGGUGAGUGUGGAAUACCAUACGUUUAUAGAUUUGCAAUGCCAAGGCCAUCACUCAACGAACCAUGGUAUGGGUUUUCAUAUGGCAAUAUUCAUUUUGUUUUAAUGAGCACAGAACAUGAAUUCAGAAAGGGAUCGCCACAGUACAACUUCUUGGUUAAUGAACUUGCAUCAGUUGAUCGUAAGACAACACCAUGGCUGAUCUUUGCAGGACAUAGGUAUGGUACCAGAUAUUUGUAUUUAUGGAAUUGCUAUGUGCAGACCUGGAACACAUUUUCUACAAUUUUGUGGGAUGUUUGGCAGAUGUGCAUCUUACUUGACGCAACGGUGUACCAUUGCAAACAGAUGAACAAGAAAUGAGUUGAGACUGACACAUCGCAAAAUUUUGUAUGUACAUGUAUGGUGACUAGUAGUACUACAAAUGGCCUAAUAGGUGUCUACCAACAAUCACUCUAAAGUAGUAAAAUAUGCACACAAAACAAGCUCAAGUUAAGUGUACUUUCUGCUUGAUGAACCACCUCAAGGCUUUAUCUGGAGGUGGCGAGUGUAUUUCUGACUACUGUAGUUUUGAAAACAAAGAUUGAUGAUGAACAUGCAUAGUGGUACCUCUGUUAACUUUCUAGUUGGUCUAAAGUUGAUUCAGGUUAUUCUUGUUCUUCAUCGACUAGUUCUGUCAUUCUAACCCAGUUUGUCUCUCAGUUACUUUCCACUGGCUGUGUAGAGAAACUUCAUUUUCUGGUUUGUUAUUUAAUAUGUUUUAUAUAUAAAGUACUGUAAUUUUCAAGUAAAAGCCACCGUAGAAGAAACAUUGCCUUUCUUUGGUUGUCUUAGUUGAAGAGAAAGCAUUAGAAAUAUACACCGCUCUAAAUAAACGUCCAACUGUAUUUAUCAAAGCAAGAAUUUUUAUCUAAAUUUCAAUUUUGCUAGCCAUUUGUGAAGACUUUCGGACUAUCCGGAUAACUGUUUCACCAGGUAGACAGUAGACGCCUCAGUUAAUUUUGUACGUAGAAUACUAGCACAGUCGCGGGUCACUUAUCCGACCCCCUUGGGACCAAACCUCUGUUUGAUAAGUGAAAAUGUUGGAUAACUGAAGCUGUUACGAACUCAACUAUUGUUCAUAUUAUACGACAUUUUUUUCCACAUUAGGUAUACUGAAUGUAGAUGUAGAAUGAAUGUAGAUGUAGAUGAAUGUAGAAUACAACGAGAAGAAACGCUUGAACUCACUCUCAAACUUGUGUCAAGAAACAACUGACAUGCACGUGGAUGUACAACAUAAGCAGCUGACCAGCCACGUGAUCACCCGUGUGACAAGCUUGACCUGUGGGAUAACUGGCGUGUCGGAUAAGUGAACGUCGGAUAAGUGACACGUGACUGUACCUACUAGUAAGCAAUGUCUUUCAUCAAAAUGUGUCAGUUUUACAAUAAUUAAACUCCAAAAUCAAUAAAUGCUGCUUUUGUUUAAACACUACUCUUAUUUGAAUGCAACAUCUGAGAGCACUAACAAAAAAUGAACUUUAUGGCAUUUAUUUGAAGUAAUAGAUAUAUCCAGUUAAGUGUUUACUAGGGGAGAGUCUUAUUCAUUGCUUUUACUAACAAGGUUAAAUCAUGAAUUAUAGUGGUAAUGUAGAUGUAUUGUUGAAGUUUGAUAAACUUUAACUGAGAGUGUUGAAUGACAGACUUCCUGCAGCCACUCUUUUGCAAUGAUACUUACUGUCUUUGAAUUUGUUAAGUACUUGUAUUUUGAGAAAUUCAAAUGGUAAGUACAUUAUGCAAUAGCAUCGAUCUUAGCUUAUUUUAUUUGUAUAGCAUUAUUAUCAUUAUUUAUUUUCUCGAGUAUUAUGUCUAGGCUUGAAGUUAACGCUCUACUGCAGAGUGUUGUAGAUUGUUAUCGAAAUUUGGAAGUCUUUGUGGUUGUUUGAUUAAUUGUAUUGGAGUUAUCUGCUGUGUAUAGACCAAUGUACAUUGACAGUACAGAUAACGGUAUGCCUGCUGGAGAAAAUCCUGUUGCAGAAUUGUUGAAGGAUGAACUUGAAUCGCUCUUGAAGGAGUAUUCUGUUGAUUUGGCUCUUUGGGCUCAUCAUCACAGUUAUCAAAGGACAUGC
Molecule: RNA transcript, 3200 nt
Organism: Corticium candelabrum
Lineage: Eukaryota; Metazoa; Porifera; Homoscleromorpha; Homosclerophorida; Plakinidae
Exons: 14
Source: RefSeq, a predicted model, not a curated record